AGUGGGGAAUAUUGGACAAUGGGGGCAACCCUGAUCCAGCCAUGCCGCGUGUGUGAAGAAGGCCUUCGGGUUGUAAAGCACUUUAAGUUGGGAGGAAGGCUUUAAGGUUAAUACCCUUGAGGAUUGACGUUACCAACAGAAUAAGCACCGGCUAACUCCGUGCCAGCAGCCGCGGUAAUACGGAGGGUGCAAGCGUUAAUCGGAAUUACUGGGCGUAAAGCGCGCGUAGGCGGCCAUUUAAGCUAGAUGUGAAAGCCCAGGGCUUAACCUUGGAAUUGCAUUUAGAACUGUAUGGCUAGAGUAUGGAAGAGGAGUGUGGAAUUUCAGGUGUAGCGGUGAAAUGCGUAGAGAUCUGAAGGAACAUCAGUGGCGAAGGCGACACUCUGGUCCAAUACUGACGCUGAGGUGCGAAAGCGUGGGGAUCAAA
RNAcentral lists this ribosomal RNA (427 nucleotides) under uncultured Simiduia sp. RNAcentral's name for it is "bacterial SSU rRNA". It matches the Rfam family "Bacterial small subunit ribosomal RNA", at positions 353 to 772 of the family's 1533-position model. Lineage: Bacteria; Pseudomonadati; Pseudomonadota; Gammaproteobacteria; Cellvibrionales; Cellvibrionaceae. The record is from RNAcentral.